GAUUAUGGCUCAGGAUGAACGCUAGCUACAGGCUUAACACAUGCAAGUCGAGGGGCAGCAUGAUCGAAGCUUGCUUUGAUUGAUGGCGACCGGCGCACGGGUGAGUAACGCGUAUCCAACCUUCCCUAUAGUAGAGGAUAGCCCGGCGAAAGUCGGAUUAAUACUCUAUGUUUUCCAAUGCAGACAUCUAAGUUGGAACAAAGGUUUACCGCUAUAGGAUGGGGAUGCGUCUGAUUAGGUAGUCGGCGGGGUAACGGCCCACCGAGCCAACGAUCAGUAGGGGUUCUGAGAGGAAGGUCCCCCACAUUGGAACUGAGACACGGUCCAAACUCCUACGGGAGGCAGCAGUGAGGAAUAUUGGUCAAUGGGCGAGAGCCUGAACCAGCCCAAGUAGCGUGCAGGAUGACGGCCCUAUGGGUUGUAAACUGCUUUUAUACGGGGAUAAAGUGAGGGACGUGUCCCUUUUUGUAGGUACCGUAUGAAUAAGGACCGGCUAAUUCCGUGCCAGCCGCCGC
This 515-nucleotide ribosomal RNA is filed under the name uncultured bacterium. Its description in RNAcentral is "bacterial SSU rRNA". It matches the Rfam family "Bacterial small subunit ribosomal RNA", at positions 15 to 518 of the family's 1533-position model. The record is from RNAcentral.